UUAAAAUCAAUGGAGGCACAACUCAGUGAAGCCCUUUAGUCCAGUGGGAACAAGUACAAAAACAACUCAGACUCAACGGAAGGCAUAUAGGCUGCAGCUGUAACCAAGAAGCUUGAAGAAGAACUCCUGAAAUGAGAUGCCCUUGUUGAGUAUCCCAAUGCCUGUUUUUGAGCGGAACACCUAAAAUGGAGUAUGUGAGAGAGGAAGGAGAGGGAAGGGGGCGUUUAUGAGGCUGUGAGAGGGGCAAUCUGGUAAACUAUCCAAGUGGAGGCGAUUUUGAGACCCUCCAUUUGUGGAUGCUAUUAGUGUAUAGACCGCAGUAAGACGUUUCUUGUUGCAGCUGACAUGGAACCGUCAAAGAUGGAUAUCUAUAAGGCUCGAGCUGAAGUGGCUUCUACCAAAGGAACUGAUGUAAAUAUGCAGGAUGCUCCUGUGACUCAGAAUGGUACUCAAGAGAGAGGAGAUUAUCCUGCUUAGAUGGAAGCAGAUGCCAAGGGCACUCAACUUCUAGCCAUAGAUGUUGCUGCAGUACAAGAUUUCUAAGCUCUUAGAAGAACUUUGAACCGAUUUGGCAUUAGCAAUUGCAAUCGCCUUUCUCCUGCUGCCACCUGUGGUAUACGUGCCACCAUUUCCACGUGCCAGAAAAUGGUCGAGUGUAGAUGGAGAGGAUGACAUUUUAGAAAUCGAUUUGCUAGGACCAAGUCUUGAUUACCUCUUUGUCUAUUGACUUGUGUGGAGGAAAAUUCAAGGGCAGGUGCAACGGGUUUGGUUCUGAAGUAUAUGUUAGUGCUGUCUAGCAGAUCAACACAAGUAGAAACUUUAGAUAAGUUCUGAAAUCACGACGUGGUGGUUGCAAACAGAACACUAGAAGCAGCCCUCAAGGAUACCGAUUUGUUUGGAGUAAUAUGUGUCGAAGAGAUCAAGCUGAUAUGAGGUGUGAUCUCACUUUCCUCCAACAUCAGAUGCCAGUUCGGGUUUAUAUAUGAAGUGUCUUAGAUUAUGCUUUAUUGUAUCUGAAAUGGAUUAGUGUUUCGCAAUUUUGGUGCAUAUAAACUUGUUUUGAU
This 1064-nucleotide long non-coding RNA is filed under the name Helianthus annuus (common sunflower). Its description in RNAcentral is "sRNA HanXRQr2_Chr15g0691881". The record is from RNAcentral. Lineage: Eukaryota; Viridiplantae; Streptophyta; Magnoliopsida; Asterales; Asteraceae.